RNAcentral lists this small RNA (483 nucleotides) under Penicillium canescens. RNAcentral describes it as "eukaryotic LSU rRNA". The stretch from base 172 to 325 matches the Rfam family "5.8S ribosomal RNA". The record is from RNAcentral. Lineage: Eukaryota; Fungi; Ascomycota; Eurotiomycetes; Eurotiales; Aspergillaceae.
GAGCGAGAAUUCUCUGAAUUCAACCUCCCACCCGUGUUUAUUGUACCUUGUUGCUUCGGCGGGCCCGCAUCACGGCCGCCGGGGGGCAUCUGCCCCCGGGCCCGCGCCCGCCGAAGACACCUUGAACUCUGUAUGAACAUUGCAGUCUGAGUCUAAAUAUAAAUUAUUUAAAACUUUCAACAACGGAUCUCUUGGUUCCGGCAUCGCUGAAGAACGCAGCGAAAUGCGAUACGUAAUGUGAAUUGCAGAAUUCAGUGAAUCAUCGAGUCUUUGAAAGCACAUUGCGCCCCCUGGUAUUCCGGGGGGCAUGCCUGUCCGAGCGUCAUUGCUGCCCUCAAGCCCGGGUUGUGUGUUGGGUCUCGUCCCCCUUCCCGGGGGGACGGGCCCGAAAGGCAGCGGCGGCACCGCGUCCGCUCCUCGAGCGUAUGGGGCUUUGUCACCCGCUCUGUAGGCCCGGCCGGCGCUUGCCGAUCAACCAAAACU